RNAcentral lists this unclassified non-coding RNA (279 nucleotides) under plant metagenome. RNAcentral describes it as "partial contains small subunit ribosomal RNA, internal transcribed spacer 1, and 5.8S ribosomal RNA". The record is from RNAcentral.
UUUCCGUAGGUGAACCUGCGGAAGGAUCAUUAUCGUACAACAUGUCAGCGGCAUGCAAGGUCUGUCUCUGACCCAAAAUUCGUGCACCCCCGAGCCUGUCCUCUUGCACAAUAAUCCAUCUCACCCUUUGUGCAUCACCCCGUCCGCACCCUUCCGGAUCCUCUCGGAGUUAGGGUCGCGUUUUCACACAAACACCCCUUUUAAAAAUCUAUAAUGCCCCCAUUUAUUCAAUCCAUACAACUAUCAACAACGGAUCUGUUGGCUCCUGCAUCGAUGAAA